RNAcentral lists this ribosomal RNA (492 nucleotides) under uncultured bacterium. RNAcentral's name for it is "partial 16S ribosomal RNA". It matches the Rfam family "Bacterial small subunit ribosomal RNA", at positions 29 to 507 of the family's 1533-position model. The record is from RNAcentral.
AGUGAACGCUGGCGGUAGGCCUAACACAUGCAAGUCGAACGGCAGCACAGUAAGAGCUUGCUCUUACGGGUGGCGAGUGGCGGACGGGUGAGGAAUACAUCGGAAUCUACUUUUUCGUGGGGGAUAACGUAGGGAAACUUACGCUAAUACCGCAUACGACCUACGGGUGAAAGCAGGGGAUCUUCGGACCUUGCGCGAUUGAAUGAGCCGAUGUCGGAUUAGCUAGUUGGCGGGGUAAAGGCCCACCAAGGCGACGAUCCGUAGCUGGUCUGAGAGGAUGAUCAGCCACACUGGAACUGAGACACGGUCCAGACUCCUACGGGAGGCAGCAGUGGGGAAUAUUGGGCAAUGGGCGAAAGCCUGAUCCAGCCAUGCCGCGUGGGUGAAGAAGGCCUUCGGGUUGUAAAGCCCUUUUGUUGGGAAAGAAAAGCAGCAGGUUAAUACCCCGCUGUUCUGACGGUACCCAAAGAAUAAGCACCGGCUAACUUCGUG